Molecule: ribosomal RNA, 252 nt
Filed under: uncultured Bacteroidales bacterium
Lineage: Bacteria; Pseudomonadati; Bacteroidota; Bacteroidia; Bacteroidales
Description: partial 16S ribosomal RNA
Rfam family: Bacterial small subunit ribosomal RNA
Source: RNAcentral
UACGGAGGAUGCGAGCGUUAUCCGGAUUUAUUGGGUUUAAAGGGUGCGUAGGCGGAAUAUCAAGUCAGCGGUAAAAAUUCGGGGCUCAACCCCGUCGUGCCGUUGAAACUGAUGUUCUUGAGUGGGCGAGAAGUAUGCGGAAUGCGUGGUGUAGCGGUGAAAUGCGUAGAUAUCAGGAGGAACACCAGUGGCGAAGGCGGCUUACUGGACUGUAACUGACGUUGAGGCUCGAAAGCGUGGGGAGCAAACAGG